This 48-nucleotide non-coding RNA is filed under the name Trichobilharzia regenti. The record is from RNAcentral. Lineage: Eukaryota; Metazoa; Platyhelminthes; Trematoda; Strigeidida; Schistosomatidae.
AUCCAGCUGAUGAAUCGCAAACAGAACGAAAUGUGCAUCCUGGUGGAU